This 370-nucleotide unclassified non-coding RNA is filed under the name uncultured fungus. RNAcentral describes it as "sequence contains ITS2". The stretch from base 1 to 154 matches the Rfam family "5.8S ribosomal RNA". The record is from RNAcentral. Lineage: Eukaryota; Fungi.
AACUUUUGACAAUGGAUCUCUAGGCUCUUGCAUCGAUGAAGAACGCAGCGAAAUGCGAUACGUAGUGUGAAUUGCAGACUCCAGUGAAUCAUCGAAUCUUUGAACGCACAUUGCGCCCACUGGUAUUCCGGUGGGCAUGCCUGUCUGAGCGUCAGUAUAAUCUCAAGCAACCGCUUGGUAUUGGAGGAUGAUCUGCCUAGCAGUUCACUUCUUAAACUGAUUGGCAAGUUUACAUAGCAGCAAGCGUAGUAGAAAUACCAUCAGCUUAGUUACUCUGUAUAGCUUUGUCAAAAUCAAACUAUUUUUAAGGUUUGACCUCAGAUCAGGUAAGGAUACCCCCUGAACUUAAGCAUAUCAAUAAGCGGAGGCU